Molecule: ribosomal RNA, 454 nt
Filed under: uncultured bacterium
Lineage: Bacteria
Description: partial 16S ribosomal RNA
Rfam family: Bacterial small subunit ribosomal RNA
Source: RNAcentral
GAUGAACGCUGACAGAAUGCUUAACACAUGCAAGUCAACUUGAACUUCGGUUUGGGUGGCGGACGGGUGAGUAACGCGUAAGGAACUUGCCUCACAGAUAGGGACAACAUUUGGAAACGAAUGCUAAUACCUGAUAUUAUGAUUAUAUGGCAUCGUAUAAUUAUGAAAGCUAUAUGCGCUGUGAGAGAGCUUUGCGUCCCAUUAGCUAGUUGGAGAGGUAACGGGUCACGAAGGCGAUGAUGGGUAGCCGGCCUGAGAGGGUGAUCGGCCACAGGGGGACUGAGACAGGGCCCGUACUCCUACGGGGGGCAGCAGUGGGAAAUAUUGGACAAUGGACCAAGAGUCUGAUGCAGCAAUUCUGUGUGCACGAUGAAGUUUUUCGGAAUGUAAAGUGCUUUCAGUUGGGAAGAAAAAAAUGACGGUACCAACAGAAGAAGUGACGGCUAACUACGUG